RNAcentral lists this long non-coding RNA (676 nucleotides) under Hermetia illucens (black soldier fly). RNAcentral describes it as "uncharacterized LOC119647849, transcript variant X1". The record is from RNAcentral. Lineage: Eukaryota; Metazoa; Arthropoda; Insecta; Diptera; Stratiomyidae.
UGUUGUCUUAUCAGUUCCAGAGCAUGCGAAUUUACAUCAUAUAUAAAGGAGAUUUGUUUUCUAUACGUAUCACACCCUCCUUGAUUGCAGACAGAUACCAGGUUGGGAAGCGAAACAAUCGACAAUAUUUGUUUUUAAACGGCAAUAUGGUGUGCGCUUCUACGUAAAUUACUUAAUUUCUGACAAACCUUUAUUGAAAUCGAAAUCAUAAACAAUUAGAUGUUGAAAUGGGUGUACAACACACAAGUGGAGUGGCAAAAUGUUGUCCCCGCAGUUGAGCUUGCAUUGUAUUUCUAGUGGUUAGCUGGCUAUCUACGCAAACUGUGUCCCGAAAAACGCGGCGGAUAGAAGAAUUCUAAGUGACAGAGAUAAGAUACUAUCGAUAGUAUUGUUUCCAAAUUAUCCGUUAACCUAUACACCCACGGGCAAUAGCAAGCUUUAAUAUAUCUAUUGACAUUCACUUUAUGGAGUCAUGUUAAACUCAUCAAUAAUACGUACUUGAAAAUGAUAACGAUAAAUUCAAUAAAAUUAUUCAAUAGUGCGUUAAUUUUCUUAGAAUACUCAAGAAAAAUUGACACCAUUCACAGCAGAUAUCACUUCACAGGGACAGCAUGUUUAAGGAGUUCACCACCACUUUUCGCUUGCGGUCAUUAUUAACACCUUAUAUACUUGCUUA